RNAcentral lists this ribosomal RNA (366 nucleotides) under uncultured organism. Its description in RNAcentral is "bacterial LSU rRNA". It matches the Rfam family "Bacterial large subunit ribosomal RNA", at positions 2099 to 2465 of the family's 2925-position model. The record is from RNAcentral.
CUUUACUGUAGCUUUGCAUUGGACUUUGACGGGACUUGUGUAGGAUAGGUGGGAGACUUUGAAGCAGGGCCGCCAGGUCUUGCGGAGUCGUCGUUGAAAUACCACCCUGGUGCUGACGAGUUUCUAACCGUGUCCGUAAGCCGGACAUGAGACAGCGUCUGGUGGGCAGUUUGACUGGGGCGGUCGCCUCCUAAAAGGUAACGGAGGCAUUCAAAGGUCCCCUCAGCGUGGUCGGUAAUCACGCGCAGAGUGCAAACGCAUAAGGGGGCUUAACUGCGAGACCGACAGGUCGAGCAGGUACGAAAGUAGGAGUUAGUGAUCCCGCGGUUUAGCGUGGAAUUGCCGUUGCUCAAUGGAUAAAAGGUA